CCUACGGGAGGCAGCAGUGAGGAAUAUUGGACAAUGGGCGCAAGCCUGAUCCAGCCAUGCCGCGUGCAGGAAGAAGCAUCUAUGGUGUGUAAACUGCUUUUGUACGGGAAGAAACACUGCUACGUGUAGCAGCUUGACGGUACCGUAAGAAUAAGGAUCGGCUAACUCCGUGCCAGCAGCCGCGGUAAUACGGAGGAUCCAAGCGUUAUCCGGAAUCAUUGGGUUUAAAGGGUCCGUAGGCGGUUUGGUAAGUCAGUGGUGAAAGCCCAUCGCUUAACGAUGGAACGGCCAUUGAUACUGCCAGACUUGAAUUACUAGGAAGUAACUAGAAUAUGUAGUGUAGCGGUGAAAUGCUUAGAUAUUACAUGGAAUACCAAUUGCGAAGGCAGGUUACUACUAGUUUAUUGACGCUGAUGGACGAAAGCGUGGGGAGCGAACAGGAUUAGAUACCCUGGUAGUCCACGCCGUAAACGAUGGAUACUAGCUGUUCGGGGUAACCUGAGUGGCUAAGCGAAAGUGAUAAGUAUCCACCUGGGGAGUACGUUCGCAAGAAAUUGAAACUUCAAAGAAAUUGACGG
This 578-nucleotide ribosomal RNA is filed under the name uncultured bacterium. RNAcentral describes it as "bacterial SSU rRNA". It matches the Rfam family "Bacterial small subunit ribosomal RNA", at positions 338 to 916 of the family's 1533-position model. The record is from RNAcentral.